Molecule: long non-coding RNA, 479 nt
Organism: Fundulus heteroclitus (mummichog)
Lineage: Eukaryota; Metazoa; Chordata; Actinopteri; Cyprinodontiformes; Fundulidae
Exons: 3
Source: RefSeq, a predicted model, not a curated record
CAGUUCUGCCAUCUUUCCUCCACAGGUGUUCGUGGUUGACUGGUGGGUGGAGACGCACACCUGCGACUCAUCCAGCAGCACCAGAGUGGCCUACAAGAACAGCGCUCGAACAGCGAGAGGACGCCAGAGUGUUUUCGUUGCAGUUACCUUCUCGAGCUGCAAGGUUCCCUUUGUGACUCUCCAGUUCCUCCGUCCUCCUUCCGAGUCGAUAACCUCACCUCUGGAUCCAAGACUCCCGCCAACAUCCUCCGGUUCCUCUCGCUGCUCUGGAUCUCGGUACCCACGGUGCUGCUCGGACCUCCUCGCCCCGCUCACCAGCCACCCGGACAUCUGCCAUCAACAACAGAGCUGAGUCCACACACACACCAUCCUCCCCGGCCGUGUUCUCUCGCACCUCGUGAUCGAUCCGGUUCCCUGGUCCCGAGCCCGUCCAAGCCGUCUCCUCCUUCCGCAGAUUAGUUCUGCCGUCUUGUGACCCG